GAUGAACGCUAGCGGCAGGCCUAAUACAUGCAAGUCGAACGAGAUUAAGAGGCUUGCUUCUUAUGAAAGGGGCGCACGGGUGCGUAACGCGUAUGCAACCUACCUUAAUCAGGGGGAUAGCCCGAAGAAAUUCGGAUUAAGACCGCAUAAAAACACAGGAUAGCAUUAUCCAAUGUUCAAAUAUUUAUAGGAUUAAGAUGGGCAUGCGUGUCAUUAGCUAGUUGGCGGGGUAACGGCCCACCAAGGCGACGAUGACUAGGGGAUCUGAGAGGAUGACCCCCCACACUGGUACUGAGACCCGGACCAGACUCCUACGGGAGGCAGCAGUAAGGAAUAUUGGUCACUGGAGGGAACUCUGAACCAGCCAUGCCGCGUGCAGGAAGUCAGCCCUCUGGGUCGUAAACUGCUUUUAUUCGGGAAUAAACCUUUCUACGUGUAGGAAGCUGACUGUACCGAAGGAAUAAGGAUCGGCUAACUCCGUG
Molecule: ribosomal RNA, 482 nt
Filed under: uncultured bacterium
Lineage: Bacteria
Description: partial 16S ribosomal RNA
Rfam family: Bacterial small subunit ribosomal RNA
Source: RNAcentral